CCUUGACAUACUAAGAACUUUCCAGAGAUGGAUUGGUGCCUUCGGGAACUUAGAUACAGGUGCUGCAUGGCUGUCGUCAGCUCGUGUCGUGAGAUGUUGGGUUAAGUCCCGNAACGAGCGCAACCCUUUUCCUUAUUUGCCAGCGGGUCAUGCCGGGAACUUUAAGGAUACUGCCAGUGACAAACUGGAGGAAGGCGGGACGACGUCAAGUCAUCAUGGCCCUUACGGCCAGGGCUACACACGUGCUACAAUGGUCGGUACAAAGGGUUGCUACCUCGCGAGAGGAUGCUAAUCUCAAAAGGCCGAUCGUAGUCCGGAUCGCAGUCUGCAACUCGACUGCGUGAAGUCGGAAUCGCUAGUAAUCGCGGAUCAGAAUGCCGCGGUGAAUACGUUCCCGGGCCUUGUACACACCGCCCGUCACACCAUGGGAGUUUGUUGCACCAGAAGUAGGUAGUCUAACCGCAAGGAGGACGCUUACCACGGUGUGGCCGAUGACUGGGGUGAAGUCGUAACAAGGUAGGCGUAGAUGA
Molecule: ribosomal RNA, 530 nt
Filed under: uncultured bacterium
Lineage: Bacteria
Description: bacterial SSU rRNA
Rfam family: Bacterial small subunit ribosomal RNA
Source: RNAcentral